This 73-nucleotide transfer RNA is filed under the name Niveomyces insectorum RCEF 264. RNAcentral describes it as "Sporothrix insectorum RCEF 264 tRNA". It matches the Rfam family "tRNA". Rfam says of the family: Transfer RNA (tRNA) molecules are approximately 80 nucleotides in length. Their secondary structure includes four short double-helical elements and three loops (D, anti-codon, and T loops). Further hydrogen bonds mediate the characteristic L-shaped molecular structure. tRNAs have two regions of fundamental functional importance: the anti-codon, which is responsible for specific mRNA codon recognition, and the 3' end, to which the tRNAs corresponding amino acid is attached (by aminoacyl-tRNA synthetases). tRNAs cope with the degeneracy of the genetic code in two manners: having more than one tRNA (with a specific anti-codon) for a particular amino acid; and 'wobble' base-pairing, i.e. permitting non-standard base-pairing at the 3rd anti-codon position. Lineage: Eukaryota; Fungi; Ascomycota; Sordariomycetes; Hypocreales; Cordycipitaceae. The record is from Rfam by way of RNAcentral.
GGUCCAGUGGCCAAAUGGCAAGGCGCUUGGCUACGAACCAAGAGGAUUGCAGGUUCGAUCCCUGCCUGGAUCG